This 973-nucleotide long non-coding RNA is filed under the name Heterocephalus glaber (naked mole-rat). Its description in RNAcentral is "lncRNA (ENSHGLG00100044703.1)". Lineage: Eukaryota; Metazoa; Chordata; Mammalia; Rodentia; Bathyergidae. The record is from RNAcentral.
AUUUCAGAUUCUUUAAGAGUCAGGCUAGAGAAGAAGAAGGAGGAAUAGAAGAAUGAACAUUUCCUAUUGGAGCAGAGAGAGAGGAUUGUCAUGCCCUGUGUGACAAAGACCAGCAACAGGGUCAACAAUGGGAUAUCUCCAGCUGUGACCCAGGCUGUGACUGAACAUGGGUCACACGCUCACCCCCAGGUAAUAAUGGACCACUGCUCGCUGUAGUCCCGGGGGACCCAGGCUGAUGGAAGCUCGCUCACCACUCAGUUCCAUGGCCACAGUCCGCUCAUGGUCAAGUCUGGCACCAAUGAAGCAGGAAUGCAUCUGCUCUCUGGGAAAGGGAAAGGCUCAUGCAUUCAGCAACUCCUGAGACCAGACCAGCGUGCUCAUCCUUGGCUUGCACAGUAAAGGGGUUCAGAGAAGACAAGUUCAUGGAAUAGUUAACAGCCCUCAGAUCCAAACCCAGGUCCAGUUCCAAAGCCCAUGCUGAAAAAUCAGUUCUCCUAGCUGACAGCAGUCCAGCAGCUCUCCACUCAGGUUCCACCACAGCCCUUUUCCCCGAACUACUGACCUCUGCUCUGCUAAAGGUAAAUGACAAGAUUCUUGCUAACAGAGUCUUCCAAUGUUCUGGUUGCUCAGGAAUCUGCCUUCCUUCAAGGCGGACCUCCCCCAGCACUGAUAAGGUAGACAAUCAUAUUCCUAUAAAUGAAGAACUAUAUAUUCCCAAAAGGUACAGAUGAAAUUGACAACUGUGUCCUGUAAACAGUCUGUGACAGACACUGUUCUCAGAUGAUUCGUGAGACACUGCUUCUCACCAGGCUGAAUUGCUGAACUGUCUGCCCUGUGUUGUUCACGUGAACUUACUAGAGAGACCACCCCACUUUGAUCAAAUGUGCAAAAGUUGAAGUGUAUCUUUGUUCAAUGCUGCUCCUUUGGACAGGAGUCUGUUGAGCUGGUGUACACCUUAAACCUGAAAUAAAAU